UUUGCAUAGGGCGGAAAACAGAUUCUCUAUUGAAAAUGCAUUUUUCGAGUUCAAUAUUCAUUAUCUCUGAAUAUAGACCAUCUGUGGUAUAUUUGCUUUUACUGAUGGAUAGAUCUAUGUUUCUGGAAGCUUCAUUAGCAAAAUUUUUUUGAAAUUCGUUUUUAUAUGGAAUUUGUGCAUUUGUGAAUAUCAUGAAGUAUUGCCAAAAAGACAGACAACAUUUACUUCUGGAUUUAUGUGAUCCCAUUUCAAAAGGUAAGAAACAUAUUUUAGAAAUAUAACUCAUGUAUAAAAUACAUACUUAGUAUUUAAAAAUGAUUGUUAUACACCAUAAAGAAAAAAAAAAGUAAAUAAAAUGCUUCUUUUGUCUUAAAUUUGAAAAAAAAUAGCCUCGAUGCAAUUUUUGAAGUUGUGAUGUCGCCAAACAAUGUGUACAUUUUUUUUUUAAUAUAAAUUACAUUUUGCCGAUUUUCGUUUCAAAACACUUAUUUUUGUAUUUCUAUCAUCAUAAUUAAUUAUUUUUUUUAUUUUUUGGCUAUUUAAAAUAAAAAAAUAUUUAUAAAAUCUCGUUUUUUUUAACACCAAUCAGAAUGGAGGUCGCCGGAAUUGACUUCAUGACCUCCCGUUCAAAGUGCUUUUUUUUUUUUGUCAUUCGCUCAGAAAUAUUCGAAGCGAUAAUUCUAGCAAAGGUAAUUAUAGACAGAAUCUAUUACAGAUAAUUCAGUUCAUAAUAUCAACUGCUUAGUUAAUUAUUCUGCUUUAAUAAUAGGAUGUCGUUUUCUUCAAUAAUUAACUUCAAGGACGGGAACACGGGUAUCUAUCUUUAGCCAGGCGCGCGCGAUAAAAACAAACAAACACACGUUUUGACUUAGUCAACCUGAAGGCGCACCUCUGAAUUGAGAUCUUAGUCUGUAAAAGCUAAAAACCUAUAAUUUUUAAAUUAAUAUCGACUACUACGGCAAUUAUUUUACUUUAAUAUUGGUGCAUUGCAUGCGUCAUAAAAUCGGCCCGGCAAUGCGAUGUUUCAGCGUGAGGGGGGGGGGCACAUUUUGAACUUAGAUUUUAGAUCUAAAUUAAUCUAUCUCUAGAUCUAUAAUAGUUUCUACAGAUCUAUAUCUAUAAAGACUAGAUCUUAACCAUAUUUUAAAAUCAAUCUAGCGAAAUGCUUUUAGAUUAGUUAGACAUAGAUCGAUCUCUAGGUCUAGGACUAGAUCUAGGUCACUGGACUUAGACUCUGAGAUUAGAUUAGUCUAGAUCUAGUCAUUAGAGUUAAUAAGCGUGAAAUUAUUUAAAUAUUUACUGAUCUAGAUCUAAAUUCUCUUAUCAGGAUAGAUUAGAUCUAGAACUAGAUGAUUUAGAUCUAUAUUUAUAUAUAGAUCUAGUCAUUUCUAGUAGAUAGUCAAGUAGCGAUGUACACACGUGGAUCAAGAAUCAAGACCCAAGACCGUAGUGAUCUAGUCUAAGUCUAAAUGUAGACUCUAGGUCUUAGAUCUAUAUAAUUUAUAUAGCCUUAUAUCUACGUCUAAAUAUAAUUCAUACAACAGUUACUACAGAUACAAAGAUUGAGAUUAUUUGAGAUAGUAAACAGAAUAGUCAAUAGAUAUAGAUCAUGCACCAUGCAAGUUAAGCUUUAUUAGGUCUAACUCUAAGUAGAGUACUCUAGACUUAGAUCUAAAAAGUGAUCAAGAACUAGAAUAGAUCUAAAUCUUGAUAAUAUUUCAUUUAAUAUUAGAUCUUUUCUAGUCUAAAAUUAUACAUAUCUAUAACCUUUAUCUAAAAUUGAUAUAAAUAGUAUCAUGUUAAAACAUGAAGAUAAGAGAAAAAAAAAAGACUUUUUAUUGGUAGCGUGGGCCGAAGAGGGGGCUUAUUUAUUAAUUAUAAAUACUUUUUAAGGUUGUUUUUUUUUUUUUUCAAAUGUUCUAUAAAUAUACUUUACUUUGUGACAUAGUUUUAAGAAAAUAAUAUUGUGAAUUUGUGAAAUUCAUGAAUUAUUGGACAUAUCUUCUGUGAAUUAUGGAUUUUUCAUUAUUAGGGGUUAGUGUGUUUGAUCUCAUUUUUUUAUGUUAAAUACUUGUCUGAUGAUAAUGAAUUUACUUUUUUUGGAUUCCUCUCUUCUUGGGCAUUAAAAUUGAUACAUAAUAUGUCUAAACUGAUUAUGUUUUUGUUAUUUAGGAUAAUGAUAAAGUAUAAUUUGCAACCUAAUUUUUUUUACGGAGGGGAAGGGGUCUGGGGUGGCUCAAUUAAUUUGCAUAAAUGACUUAAAAAACUUGUUUUUAUAUUUUUUUCAAAUGUUCUAUAAAUAUACUUUACUUUGGGAUAUAUUUUUCUAUAAAUAAUAUUGUGAAUUUGUGAAAUUCAUGGAUUAUGGGACAUAUCUUCUGUGAGUGAUGAAUUUUUCAUUAUUAGGGGUAAGUGUGUUUGACCUCAUUUUUUCAAGUUAAAUAAUUGUCUGUUGCUUCUGAUUUUAUUUUUUUUGAAUUCCUCUAUUCUUGGGCAAUAAAUUUGAUAUAUAAUAUGUCAAUAAAAGUAAUUCUGAAAUUGGUCAAAAAAAUGGUCCUUAAAGUAGAAUGUUGAGAGCUCAAUCUGUUUUCCGCCAUAGAACAUCUUUCAUUCUAAUACUAGACCAGUGCAAGACAUAGGCUAGCGAGAGAUCAAAGCCUGAAUCUCUAACUAGAUGAAGGACAAUAAAAAUCCUAAUUCAUUUUACCUAAGAUUUAGACAUCGAAUAGAUCAUUAUUACUGUUCCUUUGUGAUAAAUUAUGGAUUUAGAAUAGUUUUAUAUUUUACUUUUAUUUAGUAGUAAACCUUUUGGAGUGCAACUUGAACCAGUAUAGUGAUGCUGAUGAUUUUUACCAAAAAACAAUACUAAAAAAAAUUGCUAGAAAAUAUACCAAGAAAAGGCCCAGCAUGGUGGAUGAAUAUUGGAUUUAGAUCUGCCAUUUCUGUUGUUUUCAUUUAUCUAAGGGUUAGAUCUAUAGGAAUCUACAAAGGUGUAAAGAUAAAAGCAUAGAUCUAGUCAACCUUGAUCUACAUUCAAGACCUAGCCCUAGUCUAAGGCUAAGGCCUAAGCCUAAGCGUAUAAGGCAAUACUAGAUCUAGAUCUAAAUCUAAAUGCUAAUAAUGUCCAAGUCUGCUUCAUCCUAUGCUAAAUCUUGAUCAAGAUCUUCAUUAUUACAAUUCAUAGAAGUAUAAAUAAAACAAUAAUAAAGCUUCUUCAGUAGUAAACAUUGUGGGUGUGUCUUGGACAAGCAUAGCCAUGAUGUUGUAGAUUUUUACAGAUAAACAAUACUAAAAAAAAAAAACAAAAUGGGGAAAAAAUGCCCACAGUGGAUGAUUAUUUGAUGUAGAUCUACCAUUUCCUUUCUUUUUAUUUACCAGAAGCUUAGAUCUAAAGAUAUAUCUAGAUCUAGAGUCCAAGUCUAGAGAUAAAAGCUUAGAUCUAGUCAAUCUCGAUCUACAGACUACACCUAGCCUACUGACAAUAAUAGAUUUAUCUAGAUCUAAAUACUAAUAAUAGAUAUAAUCAUAUAAAUUAAAAUACGCUAAAUUUAGACCUACCUGAAAUCUAAUCUAGAUCAAAUUCUUCAUUAUUACUAUUUAUUUGUGAUAAUUUUUAGAAUAAUUAUAAAGUUUCUUCAGUAGUCAACAUUGUGGGUGUGUCUUGGACUAGCGUAGUCAUGGCGACGUUUUUUUACAUUGUAAAAAAAGUAAUAAAUAAAUGUCUAAAUAAAGCCAAAAGCUUCUAAUUUCUAUGUAAACAAAGGAUGAAGAACUCUUUUAUAAAUUAAAAAUAGUUCCACUGUUGUUAGUUAAAAUUUUUAAUUUAAAAAUGCAACGAAACAAAGGUAGGGUAAGAACGUCUAUGGGAUAGACGUUCCGUGCGUUUAGGGCAGACAGACCGUCUAUGGGAUAGACGCUCCGCACUCAUUGAGUUAAUUAACUUGACAUACUUUUAGAUCAAUUAUAUUUCAGACACUUCUAAGAAAACCAGCUUUGAAAUUGAUCAGAUUCUUUUUUUUUUUCUUGUCUAUGUUUUUAUUCUUUUAGCAAUCUUUAAAACUGAUGACAAUAAUUUAUAAUUAUUAAUUUGAUAUUUACUGGUGUUUCAGUGUUGUGGUCAGCUUUAUGUCCAGAAGAACUUGAAGCAUGUACCUCUGCAUUGUCCACUGACUGGGUCCUGUAGAUAGCAAAUGGUACUUCGCCUGUCUGUCGACACAGAGCUUCAUACAGUUAAAUAGCUGACAUGGAGGCCAAUAAGAGGAAAGUGCAAACAGGGUUGUCCUCGUAUUACUUGAUGCCACACCUUCAUGGAGGACCUCAGAACAGUGGACACCAGGUGGGAGGAGGCUUCAGACAUUGCCAAUGACAGAUCUUUAUGGAGACAGCUUGCCGCCCAAUGCGCCGAACGGUGUGGGAGGACCUAAGUCUAAGUAAGUAAGCUGAAAGAAAACCUUCACAUCAUGCAUUGACAAUAUUGCAAGUGUGGUAAGGCAUUUCAGAUUACAAUCCUGGUAGUGUGGUUUGCACUAUGGACUAUUGCCUUGAUCCUCUCAGGCUCAAACCCUACACACUGCCGUUCCCUGCCAUCCUGUCAGGUUUUGGCUAUGAUGUAAUAAUCUUCUAUUCUGAAGGAACAUUGAAAACAUACAUAACAAACAAGCCAAAAUGUUGCUUCAAUAUAAGUUGAGUUUUCUUGGCUGUAUCACAAAACUAAGUCAAGUAGGUUCUUCAAAGUUCUAUUUAGAUUUUAAAAAUAAAAAACUUACACUUGAC
Long non-coding RNA from Biomphalaria glabrata, 4773 nucleotides. RefSeq lists it as uncharacterized. The record is from RefSeq and is a predicted model, not a curated record. NCBI's taxonomy places the organism in Eukaryota, Metazoa, Mollusca, Gastropoda, Planorbidae. The transcript has 3 exons.